CACGAGCGCAACCCUCGUCCUUAGUUGCCAUCAUUAAGUUGGGCACUUUAAGGAGACUGCCGGUGACAAACCGGAGGAAGGUGGGGAUGACGUCAAGUCAUCAUGCCCCUUACAUCCUGGGCUACACACGUACUACAAUGCAACGGACAAAGGGCAGCCAACUAGCGAUAGUGCGCUAAUCCCAUAAACCGUUGCUCAGUUCAGAUUGCAGGCUGCAACUCGCCUGCAUGAAGGCGGAAUCGCUAGUAAUCGCAGGUCAGCAUACUGCGGUGAAUACGUUCCCGGGCCUUGCACACACCGCCCGU
This 305-nucleotide ribosomal RNA is filed under the name uncultured cyanobacterium. RNAcentral describes it as "bacterial SSU rRNA". It matches the Rfam family "Bacterial small subunit ribosomal RNA", at positions 1091 to 1397 of the family's 1533-position model. The record is from RNAcentral. Lineage: Bacteria; Bacillati; Cyanobacteriota.